This 865-nucleotide long non-coding RNA is filed under the name Malus domestica (apple). Its description in RNAcentral is "long non-coding RNA (MDOM_LNC014324)". Lineage: Eukaryota; Viridiplantae; Streptophyta; Magnoliopsida; Rosales; Rosaceae. The record is from RNAcentral.
AAUUUCAUGCAUUUACUUAUCAUUUUAUUUCAAUUUCAUGCAUCUGUUAGAAAAUCCGUUAAGUAAAUCAUUAAGUGAUGACGUGACAAAUAUGAGGUGCUGAUGUGGCUGCCAACCUUGCAUCAAGUAAAUAAAAUAAAAUAAAAAGGAUUAGUUAUUUAAAACCAUUUUUUAAUAAUUAAAAACUUUAAAAAUGAAAAAGAGGAUAUGGGGUGAAGGAUUUUAGCAUUUUUCGUCCCCAAUACCACCACCACAACCCGACGGAAAAAAAGGUCAUCGACGUCGCACCUGUCUGUUAACCACGCUUCCAAUUACCACCACAACAACCCAAGAUCUCACAACUCGUGUUGCAGCUUGGUCGAUUACGUCACUUCGAGUUCGAUCUCGACACGACUUAGCAGAUCGAGAGACUGAUUUGGCGACGGGGCACCACCCAUUUCAGCCCUAACUUCUUGAUUUCGUCCGACUAGGUGGAUGUGGACAACCCUCGUGCCUCGAUGUUCCCGUGCUGAAGCUUUGUGUGGUUUGUGACCGACGAGGUCACGAUAGACUUGCCAAAGACGGUGAUUGACGGCGGAAAUCCAUAGCGGUGUAAGAAGCUGCAUAAGUUGUCGCGACGGCAUCGUCUGCGACCUAAGAAGCCGAUGAGGCAGGAGAAAAGAUGGGAAAUGAUGCGUAGCCGACAGAGACAACUGCGGCAUCGAGAACGGCGGAGCUGGUGAGGUUGCUGUUGAUGGACUUGUUGGAGACAGACUACUAGAUGAGGAUGGAGGUGGCAACGGGAGAUUCUUGUUGCAUUCAAGCACAGAGCAUAUGAGGAUGGAGUAUAGGAGGAGAUGAGGUUAUUGGGAUAGGUGAAUGCGGC